RNAcentral lists this ribosomal RNA (467 nucleotides) under uncultured bacterium. RNAcentral's name for it is "partial 16S ribosomal RNA". It matches the Rfam family "Bacterial small subunit ribosomal RNA", at positions 28 to 506 of the family's 1533-position model. The record is from RNAcentral.
GACGAACGCUGGCGGCGUGCUUAACACAUGCAAGUCGAACGGAAAGGCCCUGCUUUUGUGGGGUUCUCGAGUGGCGAACGGGUGAGUAACACGUGAGUAACCUGCCCUUUACUUUGGGAUAACUUCAGGAAACUGGGGCUAAUACCGGAUAUGAGCUCCUGCUGCAGGGUGGGGUUUGGAAAGUUUCGGCGGUUUGGGAUGGACUCGCGGCUUAUCAGCUUGUUGGUGGGGUAGUGACUUACCAAGGCUUUGACGGGUAGCCGGACUGAGAGUGUGACCGGCCACAUUGGGAUGGAGAUACGGCCCAGACUCAUACGGGAGGCAGCAGUGGGGAAUAUUGCAAAAUGGGCGGAAGCAUGAUGCAGCAACGCCGCGUGCGGGAUGACGGCCUUCGGGUUGGAAACCGCUUUCGCCUGUGACGAAGCGUGAGGGACGGUAAUGGGUAAAGAAGCACCGGCGAACUACUU